CCUACGGGAGGCAGCAGUGAGGAAUAUUGGUCAAUGGGCGUAAGCCUGAACCAGCCAAGUCGCGUGAGGGAUGAAGGUUCUAUGGAGCGUAAACCUCUUUUAUAAGGGAAUAAAGUGUGGGAAGUGUCCUAUUUUGUAUGUACCUUAUGAAUAAGGAUCGGCUAACUCCGUGCCAGCAGACGCGGUAAUACGGAGGAUCCGAGCGUUAUCCGGAUUGAUUGGGUUGAAAUGGCGCGUAGGUGGAUUGUUAAGUCAGUUGUGAAAGUUUGCGGCUCAACCUUAAAAUGGCAGUUGAAACUGGCAGUUGUGAGUACAGUAGAGGUGGGCGGAAUUCGUGGGGGAGCGGUGAAAGGCUUAGGUAUCACGAAGAACUCCGAUUGCGAAGGCAGCUCACUGGACUGCAACUGACACUGAGGCUCGAAAGUGUGGGUAUCAAACAGGAUUAGAUACCCGUGUAGUC
RNAcentral lists this ribosomal RNA (460 nucleotides) under uncultured bacterium. RNAcentral describes it as "partial 16S ribosomal RNA". It matches the Rfam family "Bacterial small subunit ribosomal RNA", at positions 338 to 795 of the family's 1533-position model. The record is from RNAcentral.